This 253-nucleotide ribosomal RNA is filed under the name uncultured bacterium. Its description in RNAcentral is "partial 16S ribosomal RNA". It matches the Rfam family "Bacterial small subunit ribosomal RNA", at positions 524 to 776 of the family's 1533-position model. The record is from RNAcentral.
UACAGAGGUCUCAAGCGUUGUUCGGAUUCAUUGGGCGUAAAGGGUGCGUAGGCGGCGCGGUAAGUCGGGUGUGAAAUCUCGGGGCUUAACUCCGAAACUGCAUUCGAUACUGCCGUGCUUGAGGACUGGAGAGGAGACUGGAAUUUACGGUGUAGCGGUGAAAUGCGUAGAUAUCAGGAGGAACACCGGUGGCGAAGGCGGGACUCUGGGCCGAUACUGACGCUGAGGAGCGAAAGCGUGGGGAGCAAACAGG